UAGGCAGGUACAGAGGGAUGCUACCGGGCGACCGGAUGCGGAUCUCGAAAGCCUGUCCCAGUUCGGACUGGAGUCUGCAACCCGACUCCACGAAGUUGGAUUCGCUAGUAAUCGCGCAUCAGCCAUGGCGCGGUGAAUACGUUCCCGGGCCUUGUACACACCGCCCAUCAAGCCAUGGGAGCCGGGGGCGCCUGAAGUCCGGGACCGCGAGGACCGGCCUAGGGCGAAACUGGUAACUGGGGCUAAGUCGUAACAAGGUAAC
Molecule: ribosomal RNA, 262 nt
Filed under: uncultured bacterium
Lineage: Bacteria
Description: partial 16S ribosomal RNA
Rfam family: Bacterial small subunit ribosomal RNA
Source: RNAcentral